GACGAACGCUGGCGGCGUGCUUAACACAUGCAAGUCGUACGGUAAGGCCCUUUCGGGGGUCCACGAGUGGCGAACGGGUGCGUAACACGUGAGUAACCUGCCCACAACUUUGGGAUAACGCUAGGAAACUGGUGCUAAUACUGGAUAUGUGCUCCUGCUGCAUGGUGGGGGUUGGAAAGCUCCGGCGGUUGUGGAUGGACUCGCGGCCUAUCAGCUUGUUGGUGGGGUAGUGGCCUACCAAGGCGGCGACGGGUAGCCGGCCUGAGAGGGUGACCGGCCACAUUGGGACUGAGAUACGGCCCAGACUCCUACGGGAGGCAGCAGUGGGGAAUAUUGCACAAUGGGCGCAAGCCUGAUGCAGCAACGCCGCGUGCGGGAUGACGGCCUUCGGGUUGGAAACCGCUUUCAGCAGGGACGAAGCUUUUUGUGACGGUACCUGCAGAAGAAGCACCGGCUAACUACGUG
RNAcentral lists this ribosomal RNA (465 nucleotides) under uncultured bacterium. RNAcentral's name for it is "partial 16S ribosomal RNA". It matches the Rfam family "Bacterial small subunit ribosomal RNA", at positions 28 to 507 of the family's 1533-position model. The record is from RNAcentral.